Molecule: microRNA precursor, 98 nt
Filed under: Pelobates cultripes (western spadefoot toad)
Lineage: Eukaryota; Metazoa; Chordata; Amphibia; Anura; Pelobatidae
Source: RNAcentral
GUGUGUGUGUGUGUGUGUGUGUGUGUGUGUGUGUGUGUGUAUAUAUAUAUAUAUAUAUAUAUACGCGCAUGCACACACACACUGACACACAUACACAG